ACGUAGGUGGCGAGCGUUAUCCGGAUUUAUUGGGCGUAAAGGGCACGCAGGCGGUUUAGUAAGUUUGGCGUGAAAUCUCCCGGCUUAACCGGGAGUGGUCGCUGAAAACUGCUGAACUUGAGGUGAUGAGAGGAGUGCAGAAUUCCCGGUGUAGUGGUGGAAUGCGUAGAUAUCGGGAGGAAUACCAGUGGCGAAAGCGGCACUCUGGCAUUAACCUGACGCUGAGGUGCGAAAGCGUGGGUAGCGAACGGG
This 252-nucleotide ribosomal RNA is filed under the name uncultured bacterium. RNAcentral describes it as "partial 16S ribosomal RNA". It matches the Rfam family "Bacterial small subunit ribosomal RNA", at positions 525 to 776 of the family's 1533-position model. The record is from RNAcentral.